RNAcentral lists this long non-coding RNA (365 nucleotides) under Lathyrus oleraceus (garden pea). RNAcentral describes it as "Pisum sativum (pea) long non-coding RNA (PSAT_LNC025167)". Lineage: Eukaryota; Viridiplantae; Streptophyta; Magnoliopsida; Fabales; Fabaceae. The record is from RNAcentral.
UAAAAGCCAAAUUGUUGAGACCAAGCAAGGAGGCACUACUGUAGAGCUCUUUGGGCCUGCCGCUUUCUCAAUCGAAAAUGGAAACUGUCAAGAUUAGCCUACUGAACGAUUCUUUCUAUCAUUAUAUAUGUAAUUUCAGGAUUUAUUUUUGUUGAUCGGAUCGCCACCACGCGCUUUCCUUACUGACCGCCAACCCAAUCUCGAUGUUUGAAAGAUGUUCUGUUCACAUACUCGUUUCACACAUAGGAACAGAUAGGCAGAAAAAACUACCCUUUCUAGAAAGAAGGAGCCUUAUUAUUUAUAUACAUGAGAAACUAGUCCAAGAACCUCCUCAGCUUCACUCAGAACGACUAACUAGGUCGAUG